Molecule: long non-coding RNA, 1566 nt
Filed under: Anas platyrhynchos platyrhynchos (common mallard)
Lineage: Eukaryota; Metazoa; Chordata; Aves; Anseriformes; Anatidae
Description: lncRNA (ENSAPLG00000025046.1)
Source: RNAcentral
GCUUCUGCUCUUAGUGCCUUCCAGAAAUGUUUCUUUAAUAACAUACAUUAAUAUUAAAGAAAGAGAAGGAAAAUUGGGAGGAAGAGAAGGAGGGGUUUGUUAUUUUUUCUGACCCAAUUUCCAUCCAUCACUUCAAUUACGUUCCCAGAGACAGAUGAACUCUGCAUCCCUUUUCCCUCCGAUACCUUCUGUACAACUCCAUAUGGAUCUUCAAAAAAUCCUGUCUUGCUGCUCAACCUUCCCUCCCUGUUCUCUGUCUGCAUGAGUGCCCUAUUUCUAUUCCUUAUUUCUUGGUAAUUGUAUUCAAACACACUCUUUGUUCUUUGUUUGCUAACCUGCAUUUUUUUCCUCUAGUCAGCUUAUCCCUUUUUUAGUCCUUUUGAUUAAAGUUCUCAAUUCAUUUAGUAUCUUUCUGUUUCUCCCCAGUCCUUCUAAAGUGAAACUAUAAAGCACUGCAGGGAAUGCUUGUAUUUACCUCCCAAUUCUCUUAGCCAAGCUUUCAAGGCUGACUUGUGAGCUGUAUACUAGUACAUCUUAAAAGUUUCCAGUCCUACACUGAGACAUUCUCUGGCAAUAGCAAUAGCUUUACUCUUUACACCAUCAUAGUCUUUUAGAAUUGUGAUUUGCUGCUGCUUAAGACCUUUUCUGAUGAUCAUACAAACUGAAUAACCUGCACAAUUAGGAUUGAACAUCUUUGUGCACUGGCAGCAUAACUGGCAGGAGAGGUGACGGCUUGCUACACCGUGCGUUUUUCAAUGCACACAUUAUGUCGUAGUUUUCUAUCUACUGUCUGUCUGAGGUAGCAGGAAAAUUGGAGGAGUGUUAGCCUGUAAUUCUCCUAGGAUUUAUCUUACAUUUUUAAACAAAAACUAGGGGAAACAGCAAAGAAGUGUGCAUCAUAGUCGGCUCGGUCUGAUUGGGGCUUUUAUUGUUACUCUAAAUGAUCAUUUUUCUUUUCUUCACAGGCAACAGGCUGGUUUGCAGCCUAGAUGUGUUUCUACCCACCACAUCAAUACCAAUUAGGACCACUGGAGUCUCACUUCCAAAGCAGAAGGGUAAAUGGAUUCUACAUAGAAGAGAAUUAUUCUGGGUAACACUCAAUUCCAUACAUAAUAAUCAUUUCUUUCUAAAUCAUUUGCACCAGUAAAUUACUACUCUUCUGAAAUGGAAUUUGACAUCUUUUUUGCAGUCAUAAGUGAAGGCAUAUUUAGUUGGGAGAAUCUCAGUGGAAGCUCAGCACUGAGCUGAAACCAAACACUGACUGAAACAGUUCUCUGCUCUGUGUGAUCACCCAAACAAUUUGCCCCAGCCACAGAUCAUGCUUCCGGGCAGCGUCAUUUUGUGAGUAGUUAUCUUCAUCAUUUUUUGCACUGCUUUAGGGUAUACUCAGGCUCUUUCCUGAUAUCCAGAGGAGGGCUGUCUAAUUGUUGCUUUUGCGUCUUUCACUCAGAUACUAUGGUAUUUGAUGGAUUUAUACUAAGUGUAUUUAUCAGAAAUGUCUGCAUUUCUAACACCCCAUAAAGAUUUUCAAAAUAUCUUAUUAAAAUAAAUGUAUCAACAAGCUCA